AUGAAAUCCAUGGUUUUUCAGGUUGGCGAUAAGAGAUACUUGACUUCGCCUCCAGCUAUCACAUCCCGCGCAAGAAUUCAAAUGCUUAAUGAAGCGAUGAAGUGUGUGUAAAACAGGUGCAGUUGUACUCGCAUCCGCUAGACCAUGAUACAGAAACAGUAGGCGUUGAGUUCGCUUGUUGAUUAUCCUAUAUAAGAUCUAUAGAAUAGGGGUAGAGAUCAGAAGCUAACGCCAGCGGUGCCGUCAUACUGAGAGCGGCUCGAAUCACGCACAUAAUUUGGCGUCACCUUACUGCUAUUCCCGUUCACAAUGCGCAGUUUGGUUAUUCUAGGAAUAGUGGUGGUCCUAGGCCUGGUUGUACGGCAAAGCCAAUGUUUUAUGCCCCAUGACUUCCAUUUUGAGACUCCAGCUCCAAGAAUAGUAAGAAGAACAUCUGAAAAGGCUAAACGAGAAAUGGAAGGGUUCUGCCAAGCCGCAAGAAGAUUUUGCUUAAAAAGAAAACAAGAACUCUAUCGAGUAGCUGAUAAGAAAACAAGCACACAACAACAUCAACGAAAGUAUUCAUACGACUGACCACCUGUGGGAUUAACCAAAAGAGAAGAGAUCGGUGGAAAAAGACAUUUGAUGCUGUCGAGGUUUUGACGGGAAAUGAUUAUUUUUUUAUAUAAAAUCUACACAAUCUACACGUCGACUUGUGUCGUAUAAAAAAGCAUUCUGAAUGGUUUCUUGUUACCAGGAAGGAGUGUUAUUUUCAUCACGUGAUUCUCUCUCGGUACCAGGCUUCCCCACCUUGUCAGUGAAGACACUGGGACUUUGUGCAGCCAGGAGCUCUUAGAUUUAUAAGACCAUCAUACAAAUUCACACGAAUAAUAAUCUAUGAGCUACCAUGAUUGUCAAGAUUAUCAUCACUAGCACCAACACAAUCAUCAUCAUUUCCACAUCAUCAUCUUCCUGAUAUAGAACAAUUUGUUUUCAAAACUGUCGUUUUUCAUGCUCGCUCGCUUUCUUAUUAGGACAUUAAAUACAAUAUCUAGGAGUGCGCUUCUAUCACUUUUCGCUUCUUUCCUCUCUUAGAACAAUUUGAGCGUCAAGAAAUUCCAUGUAAAUCCGCAGUUAUUCGUGUUUACUAUGAUUUUACUGUCCGCCACCUUGAAAAACUGACCCAGACCCUAUCGAUUUAGAUCACCACAGGUCUCCCGAGUGCCUGCCCUAGGCUCUUUUAGACCAUUAAGAAUAGAUAUCUUCUUUAUAAAACAAACCUUUAAAGUGGUCUUCCCCGAGCUAGAAUCUAAGAGUUGAGAGCUAGCGUUAUAAAGUGUACUCGAAGUCUACUCAAACUCGUUCCCACUCUUCACUGAUGAGGUCGGGAAGCCUGUGCCUAGUGUUGGCGCGCAUGCGUGGUAAGGGGGCUUAUCGCUAAGCAGCAUAGGGAAAACUAUUUCAGUCUUAGUUUUCAUAUAAUAAUAAAAAAUAUAUAGCAUCCUA
Molecule: long non-coding RNA, 1485 nt
Organism: Nematostella vectensis (starlet sea anemone)
Lineage: Eukaryota; Metazoa; Cnidaria; Anthozoa; Actiniaria; Edwardsiidae
Exons: 2
Source: RefSeq, a predicted model, not a curated record